This is a long non-coding RNA of Solea senegalensis (Senegalese sole), 1514 nucleotides long. RefSeq lists it as uncharacterized. The transcript is spliced from 2 exons. NCBI's taxonomy places the organism in Eukaryota, Metazoa, Chordata, Actinopteri, Pleuronectiformes, Soleidae. The record is from RefSeq and is a predicted model, not a curated record.
UUGACAUCAGGUAGAACAGGUUUGGGCGAGGUGGCUAAAGUGAGUCUCAAGCACUCAGUGAAAAGGAGAGCGAGAAAGAUUUUUACUGUUUCUGCUGUUUCCUUCAGUUUGUGACAUUAUUUUCACUUCAGAAGGAGAAAAAGAAGAAGAAGGAGCUGGGAUUAAACCAGUGAAGAGGUCUGUGAUUCCUCACACUACAACAGAGUGAAGAAGAAGAGGAGGAGAAGGAAGAAGGAGAAGACAGAGAAGAGGAAACACCUGUUGCCUUCAGACAAGUUCUACACAGAGCUCUCUCGCCCCCACUGGUUGAUUGGUUAGUUUCAACCACCACCAUGUCAACCAUCAACGUCUCCUUAGAUAAUCCGUAUGGUCAGGUGAACAUUCCGAGGGCUAAACUCCGCUCCUCCGAUGACCCCUCUACGGUGAUAGCCAAUCCGAUGGCUCUGGACAGUAACGUCGGCAACCCGUACAGCUCGUCGGGUUCUGCGCCGCCACCAUAUAUGGUAAAGGAAGACGGAGGGGAGGAGGACGAGGGCAGGUGCCGCGCCUGCUGCUACCGGUGCAGGCGAAAGAAGUGACGUCACAUCGGCAGGAAGUGACAUCAGAAAACGGGAUGUGAUGUCACAGCACCAGGGGCUUGGAUUAAUUUAUUUUCUGGUCAAUGUUUCUGUCUUUCCCCUGAGGAAUUAUCCAAGGAAGGAAGAAGGAAAGAAAGAGUCAUGAACGUCAGGAAGUUGUGGUCAUUUUUUGACCGUGUUAAAAAACUAUGUGAACCUCCUGUUUGUUCAACAAUUCAGACACAAUCUCGAGGUUCAUUUACUGAAUUAUUCCUGAAGAUUACCAGGCUCCCACCUGGAGGAAGAUCUAUGACACAGCUGAACUGAAGCGACCUCUGCUGCUGCUUCAAAAACCUUUAGCUCAUUUUAAAAUUCAUGUGAACUGAACAGAUUAUUUUAUGUUUGAUGUUUUUUUAUUAUGUUCAUCAGACGAUCACACACUCACAUUUUUAGAGAAAUCAUGCAAAUCUUAGUUUCACAGAUUGUUACAAUCAUUUAAAAAUACAAAUACGCAGAAUUUCUUACAUGAGGUCAUCCCAUUUUAAAAUUCCGUAAUCCUAAAAUUUAAAUGAAGUUAUUUAAUCUUAGUUUAAUAUUUGCUAAUCACAGUUUGUAAUGUGUUCAUACCAAUUUUAGAUCUCACUAAUCUCCACCUAAAUUGAGCUAAUCCCAGCCCAGUUUGAAGUUUUGCUAAUCUCAGUUCACUCAGACUCAGACUCUGUUUGACAUGAUUGAUUAUGAAAAUGAUGAAGACGAUUGAAUCUCAUUCACAUGGUUUGUUAACGGAUGUUAAUACUGUUUAUUUUAACAACAUGAUUUAUAUACACACAUAUACAGUAUAUAUUUGAUAUUUUCUUUAUAUAUAAUAUAAAUUUGCACAAAGUAUUUACAUGUUGUCAUGACGACGACUCAGGAUGAAGGUUUUGUUGAAAUAAACAGUUUUUUGUAUUAAUAUCA